Molecule: long non-coding RNA, 526 nt
Organism: Oncorhynchus tshawytscha (Chinook salmon)
Lineage: Eukaryota; Metazoa; Chordata; Actinopteri; Salmoniformes; Salmonidae
Exons: 3
Source: RefSeq, a predicted model, not a curated record
GUUUAAAUUAUGUCUUACACCCAGAGUGAGAGAGUACAUCACUUCCAGCACAUCUCCUUGCUGAGGGUGGCGUUGAUCAUGCACUGCUUCUAGUGGGGCUCGAUUCGCUGUAGUCUUUACAACUGUACGCGUGCGCUCGGAUCACACUGGCACAGGAUGUCCAUGCACCGGGUGGCCUGUGUGAAGCAGUCCUGUUGGACUGGAAAACAAAGAGAUUUGUCUGGAUCUUUCUCUUCUGUCAUGGUAGAUGAGCUACAUUUUAUGGUAAAUACAGGGCCAAUUCUCUCUCACCGGAAAAUGGCAGGUGUGAUGAUUCAUUUUAUUUUUUAUAUCGGUUUGAUUGCGGGGAGGCACUGAUAAUGUCUGCAGUUUUCGGUUUGGCUAUUUGUUUCAAGUGUAUUAGUCUAUAAAUAAAUCUCUUUGUCAAAAUUCGUCAUCUCUGCCAUGUCUUAUUCGACGAGUAGUUGUUCAGAAAUGUUUAUUGUUUGCCUACAUUUUACUCCCUCCUCUAUGUUUAAUAUAACAC